RNAcentral lists this small RNA (1049 nucleotides) under uncultured Pelagibacterales bacterium. RNAcentral describes it as "bacterial SSU rRNA". The stretch from base 1 to 658 matches the Rfam family "Bacterial small subunit ribosomal RNA", at positions 867 to 1533 of the family's 1533-position model. The record is from RNAcentral. Lineage: Bacteria; Pseudomonadati; Pseudomonadota; Alphaproteobacteria; Candidatus Pelagibacterales.
CACCGCCUGGGGAGUACGACCGCAAGGUUAAAACUCAAAUGAAUUGACGGGGACCCGCACAAGUAGUGGAGCAUGUGGUUUAAUUCGAAGAUACGCGCAGAACCUUACCAACACUUGACAUGUUCGUCGCGACUUUAAGAGAUUAAAGUUUUCGGUUCGGCCGGACGAAACACAGGUGCUGCAUGGCUGUCGUCAGCUCGUGUCGUGAGAUGUUGGGUUAAGUCCCGCAACGAGCGCAACCCUCACUUUUAGUUGCCAUCAUUUAGUUGGGCACUCUGAAAGAACUGCCAGUGAUAAGCUGGAGGAAGGUGGGGAUGACGUCAAGUCCUCAUGGCCCUUACGUGUUGGGCUACACACGUGCUACAAUGGUAUUUACAACAGGAAGCAAGACGGCGACGUUAAGCAAAUCCUUAAAAAAUACCUCAGCUCGGAUUGCACUCUGCAACUCGAGUGCAUGAAGCUGGAAUUACUAGUAAUCGUGGAUCAGCGUGCCACGGUGAAUGCGUUCCCGGGUCUUGUACACACCGCCCGUCACACCAUGGGAGUUGGUUCUACCUUAAGGCAAGGUUUAAAACCCUUGACUACGGUAUAGUCAGCGACUGGGGUGAAGUCGUAACAAGGUAGCCGUAGGGGAACCUGCGGCUGGAUUACCUCCUUUCUAAGGAUGAAUGAAAAUUUUUUUCAUUCUAAAUAAUUUACAAGGUUAAUGUUGACCGUCCUCAUUUCUCUUCUUGAAAGUUAGUGUUUCUCUUGCAUGGGGGCCGGUAGCUCAGUUGGUUAGAGCACACCCUUGAUAAGGGUGGGGUCGAAAGUUCGAGUCUUUCUCGGCCCACCAAUUUAAGAUUAAGGGGGACUAGCUCAGCUGGGAGAGCGCCUGAUUUGCAUUCAGGAGGUCAGCGGUUCGAUCCCGCUAUCCUCCACCAAAAACACUUAGUUAUAAAAAAUUGUAAAUAAUAAAUAAUUAAUAUCAAUAUCUAUAUCCGAACAUUAGUAAUGUUAUUAGCUAAUGUUCAAAACAAAAAUUUGAUUCAACACAGAAUUUUUUUCUG